Long non-coding RNA from Lycium ferocissimum, 420 nucleotides. RefSeq lists it as uncharacterized. The transcript is spliced from 3 exons. NCBI's taxonomy places the organism in Eukaryota, Viridiplantae, Streptophyta, Magnoliopsida, Solanales, Solanaceae. The record is from RefSeq and is a predicted model, not a curated record.
UUUAUCAACCAAGAAAAUGAACUCACACAAUUAGCUCUUCAAACUCUGUAAACGUGGCCAACAAGUUCUUAUUUUGUGUUCUCCUUAUCACACUCACUGUUAAUUUAUUUUGGUCCUCAAACACUCAAGUGAUGGCUCUGCGAGACCUACCUUUAUCAGAAGAAGUACAAGUGAUUGAGCAAAGUUUACAACUCCGAGGAGGAAAGCGUUGUUUCUCCACUUGCUAUUCUCAUGCAGAAUGCGCUAAGCCGUGUACUCUAUGCAGGCAGGCGCGACCUCAUUAUGACCCUGAAAGGAAAUGCUUUAAGCCAAAGUGAUCCAUUUAUUCAAUCUCAUAUCAUAAAAUGUCUUCUAUAUGUAUUUUAUUUUCUUCCUGCAUCUUCUGAGCUUUGUGUCGUUUAUAAAAGAACUAGUUGGUGA